GGGUGGAUCAGUGGCGAACGGGUGAGUAAUACGUGAGUAACCUGCCCUUGACUCUGGGAUAAGCCUGGGAAACUGGGUCUAAUACUGGAUACUACAUAUCUUCGCAUGGGGGUGUGUGGAAAGGGUUUUACUGGUUUUGGAUGGGCUCACGGCCUAUCAGCUUGUUGGUGGGGUAAUGGCCUACCAAGGCGACGACGGGUAGCCGGCCUGAGAGGGUG
This 218-nucleotide ribosomal RNA is filed under the name Anophryoides haemophila. RNAcentral's name for it is "partial Bacterial small subunit ribosomal RNA". It matches the Rfam family "Bacterial small subunit ribosomal RNA", at positions 85 to 302 of the family's 1533-position model. The record is from RNAcentral. Lineage: Eukaryota; Ciliophora; Oligohymenophorea; Philasterida; Glauconematidae.